Rhodamnia argentea is the source of this 495-nucleotide long non-coding RNA. RefSeq lists it as uncharacterized. The record is from RefSeq and is a predicted model, not a curated record. Lineage: Eukaryota; Viridiplantae; Streptophyta; Magnoliopsida; Myrtales; Myrtaceae. The transcript has 2 exons.
CUGGGGUUCGCCAUCUGUAUCAUUUUCCCAUUAUGAAAAUUUGUCUGCUUCUGCUGGGGGAGGCUAGUCGCCCAACCUUUUCCCAUUCAUUUUGGCGAGAGAUCUGUUUUUUGGUCUGUUCUUGCGUAGCUGCCAACUGUACGCUGGGGUCUCUGUUUUUGCAAUUUCGACCAGCUAAUGGAAUCGUCUAAUCUAUGGGCUAAAAUUACUUGUUGUGAAUGGCUCUGGCAAAUGCUGAAACAAGCUUUGCGAUUCCAUGCACAUCUGCUUCUUUUCGCAUCAUUUGACAGUAUGAGUAAGUACUGAACCUCCUACUUCAAAUCGAAGUAGUUGGCUGGUCGGAUAGACUUGGGACGGUAGGUCAACUCUACCCUGGGUCUGGUUUCCUUGAUCUUUGUUCAGGAUAUUGAGUGGGGGGCUGGUUUCCUUCCUUAAGUGGGUUUACGUGCUUUUUUGGCGAUGAAAGUUUGGGGGUUAGAUGGCUUACUUUCAAGA